AUACGGAAGGCAGCAGUGGGGAAUAUUGGACAAUGGGCGCAAGCCUGAUCCAGCCAUGCCGCGUGGGUGAUGAAGGCCCUAGGGUUGUAAAGCCCUUUCGGCGGGGAAGAUAAUGACGGUACCCGCAGAAGAAGCCCCGGCUAACUUCGUGCCAGCAGCCGCGGUAAUACGAAGGGGGCUAGCGUUGCUCGGAAUCACUGGGCGUAAAGCGCACGUAGGCGGAUUGCUAAGUCAGGGGUGAAAUCCUGGAGCUCAACUCCAGAACUGCCUUUGAUACUGGUGAUCUUGAGUCCGGGAGAGGUGAGUGGAACUGCGAGUGUAGAGGUGAAAUUCGUAGAUAUUCGCAAGAACACCAGUGGCGAAGGCGGCUCACUGGCCCGGUACUGACGCUGAGGUGCGAAAGCGUGGGGAGCAAACAGGAUUAGAUACCCCGGUAGG
RNAcentral lists this ribosomal RNA (438 nucleotides) under uncultured bacterium. Its description in RNAcentral is "bacterial SSU rRNA". It matches the Rfam family "Bacterial small subunit ribosomal RNA", at positions 339 to 794 of the family's 1533-position model. The record is from RNAcentral.